UUUUACCUACGGGAGGCAGCAGUGGGGAAUAUUGCGCAAUGGGGGCAACCCUGACGCAGCAACGCCGCGUGAUUGAAGAAGGCCUUCGGGUUGUAAAGAUCUUUAAUUGGGGACGAAACAAAUGACGGUACCCAAAGAAUAAGCUCCGGCUAACUACGUGCCAGCAGCCGCGGUAAUACGUAGGGAGCAAGCGUUAUCCGGAUUUACUGGGUGUAAAGGGCGAGUAGGCGGGCUGGCAAGUUGGGAGUGAAAUCCCGGGGCUUAACCCCGGAACUGCUUUCAAAACUGCUGGUCUUGAGUGAUGG
This 305-nucleotide ribosomal RNA is filed under the name uncultured bacterium. RNAcentral describes it as "bacterial SSU rRNA". It matches the Rfam family "Bacterial small subunit ribosomal RNA", at positions 333 to 652 of the family's 1533-position model. The record is from RNAcentral.